RNAcentral lists this ribosomal RNA (254 nucleotides) under uncultured bacterium. Its description in RNAcentral is "partial 16S ribosomal RNA". It matches the Rfam family "Bacterial small subunit ribosomal RNA", at positions 524 to 776 of the family's 1533-position model. The record is from RNAcentral.
UACGUAGGGUGCGAGCGUUGUCCGGAAUUAUUGGGCGUAAAGAGCUCGUAGGCGGUUGGGUAAGUCGGGUGUGAAAACUCCGGGCUCAACUCGGAGACGCCACCCGAUACUGCUCUGACUUGAGUCCGGUAGGGGAGUGGGGAAUUCCUGGUGUAGCGGUGAAAUGCGCAGAUAUCAGGAGGAACACCGGUGGCGAAGGCGCCACUCUGGGCCGGAACUGACGCUGAGGAGCGAAAGCGUGGGGAGCAAACAGG